UACGUAGGGUGCGAGCGUUAAUCGGAAUUACUGGGCGUAAAGCGUGCGCAGGCGGUUUUGUAAGACAGGCGUGAAAUCCCCGAGCUCAACUUGGGAAUUGCGCUUGUGACUGCAAGGCUAGAGUAUGUCAGAGGGGGGUAGAAUUCCACGUGUAGCAGUGAAAUGCGUAGAGAUGUGGAGGAAUACCGAUGGCGAAGGCAGCCCCCUGGGACGUCACUGACGCUCAUGCACGAAAGCGUGGGGAGCAAACAGG
This 253-nucleotide ribosomal RNA is filed under the name uncultured bacterium. Its description in RNAcentral is "partial 16S ribosomal RNA". It matches the Rfam family "Bacterial small subunit ribosomal RNA", at positions 524 to 776 of the family's 1533-position model. The record is from RNAcentral.